UACAGAGGUCUCAAGCGUUGUUCGGAUUCAUUGGGCGUAAAGGGUGCGUAGGCGGCGCGGUAAGUCGGGUGUGAAAUCUCGGGGCUUAACUCCGAAACUGCAUUCGAUACUGCCGUGCUUGAGGACUGGAGAGGAGACUGGAAUUUACGGUGUAGCGGUGAAAUGCGUAGAUAUCGGGAGGAACACCGGUGGCGAAGGCGGCGAUCUGGGUCGAUACUGACGCUGAGGUGCGAAAGCGUGGGGAGCAAACAGG
Molecule: ribosomal RNA, 253 nt
Filed under: uncultured bacterium
Lineage: Bacteria
Description: partial 16S ribosomal RNA
Rfam family: Bacterial small subunit ribosomal RNA
Source: RNAcentral